AUAAAAUGCUGUCGUUUCCUAAAUCUAAUUUCUUUUUUAUUUUCUUUUUUUUUUAACCAAAACAAAGUAAAAGACACAAAAGGGUUUAAUGGAUUUGAUAAUUUACAGACCCAACCAUAAGAUAAACGGAUUAUCCACCCGAACCCAGUCAAAACGGAUCCUAUCCUAUUAAUUUAUUUUUAAAAAAAAAUAUCUUCCCCUUUUUCGUUAUCUAUCUUCCUCGUUCCUCUUCAAAUUUAAAUUCCUGUUUUAAAAUCCAACUAUCUGACCAGGAGGUGAAUGCGGUUGGUUCAAGCAGGAGUGCGCGACGAAGACUGAGAAGCUUGCUGGUCUUCUCGGGCAGGUUGCCCGCGCUAGUUCUGAUCUAUACGCUCACCGUAUUAUCACAGAUACUGGACAAGGCUUGUCUCCUUCGUCUUCAAGUGCCGAGCCAACUGCAUCAUGAAGCGCGUCUUCACCAUCAUCCCAUGUCUACUCAGUGACGUUUCUUGGUCUUCCUCUUAUCACCGCCAACGAGCGCAUCCUCUGCCUCAUCUAGGAGCAUAUUGCUCUUCUCCCGCUCCGAUGUCGCCGCUUCCCUCGUUUCUCUUGUCCGUGAUAGCGAUCGCUACACUAAGCUUAUCAUCGAUGGAAGUGUAGAACUAGAAGCUCAUCGGAGUUUUAGCUCACUUAUCUGUUCCAAUCAGCAGCUAAUAGGGUUCCUAACAAGUCGUGAGAUGUUCUGUUUCUCUCGAUAGAGAUACUCCCAUUGCUGAUUCCUUCUCUUCUCACCGGGACUUGGCUACUCAAAAGUAAUAUUUGUAUGGUCUUUGAUCCAUCACAGUGGGUGCAAAUUCCUUUCACGGAGGGAAGACUGAUGAGAUCCAAGAGCCAAAGUAGAAGCAUAAAAGAAAGGCUGAGACUUACAAGACUUUUGGGUUGCCAUAUUUUGAAUGUUUAUUAUGUAUCUCGGUUUUUCUUUUCAACUUAUGUAGGGUGAUAUUUAAGUCUUACUUUUGUUGAAUCCAUCUAUGAUGAUAUGUAAGAUUAUUUCUUGUU
Long non-coding RNA from Raphanus sativus (radish), 1038 nucleotides. RefSeq lists it as uncharacterized. The record is from RefSeq and is a predicted model, not a curated record. NCBI's taxonomy places the organism in Eukaryota, Viridiplantae, Streptophyta, Magnoliopsida, Brassicales, Brassicaceae. The transcript is spliced from 2 exons.